This 729-nucleotide ribosomal RNA is filed under the name Hemithecium aphaneomicrosporum. RNAcentral's name for it is "SSU rRNA". It matches the Rfam family "Bacterial small subunit ribosomal RNA", at positions 379 to 1094 of the family's 1533-position model. Lineage: Eukaryota; Fungi; Ascomycota; Lecanoromycetes; Ostropales; Graphidaceae. The record is from RNAcentral.
AAGCCGGUAAAAGGCAAUGUACCUAGUAGUAUUAGAAAUAAAUAUGAGGUUAACAAAGUUAAUUAAAAUUCAUAGUAGAUAAAUGAUUAUGACAAUAUCUGCUGAUGUCUUGACCAAGUCACGUGCCAGCAGUCGCGGUAAUACGUGGAAGAUAAGUGUUAUUCAUCUUUAAUAGGUUUAAAGGGUACCUAGACAGUUAAUUAAGCAAGAAAUUGUACUAGUUUAACUAGAGUUUAAUGUAGGAAGGGUCAGUACGAUGCGGUGUAGAGAUAAAAUUCUUUGAUACUCAUGGGGACUGGUAAAGGCGAAGGCAACCUUUUAUGAAAAACUGACGUUAAGGGACGAAGGCUCAAGGAGAAAAAAGAGGAUUAGAUACCCUUGUAUAGUGGGCAGACAAUGAUGAGUGUCAUAUGCAAGAUGAUUUUUGUGUAUAAAUGAAAGUGUAAGCACUCCACCUCAAGAGUAACGUGGCAACAUGGGAACUGAAAUCAUUAGGCCGUUUCUGAAACCCGUAGUGAAGUAUGUUGUUUAAUUUGUAAGUACGCAAAUAACCUUACCACAAUUUGUAUAGCUUGUAAUUUUACAUUGGUUAUUAAYCAACAUGAYAAUAACUUGUAUACUAUAUUUAUAUAUUAAUAUAUAUAUAUUAUAUAGUAAAACUUACAAGCUACAAGCGUUGCACGGCUGUUUUUAGUCAAUGUUGUGAAACUUUGGUUAGGUCCAUUAAAU